UACAGAGGGGGCAAGCGUUGUUCGGAAUUACUGGGCGUAAAGGGCGCGUAGGCGGCCUGCUAAGUCGAACGUGAAAUCCCUGGGCUCAACCCAGGAACUGCGUCCGAUACUGGUUGGCUUGAAUCCGGGAGAGGGAUGUGGAAUUCCAGGUGUAGCGGUGAAAUGCGUAGAUAUCUGGAGGAACACCGGUGGCGAAGGCGACAUCCUGGACCAGUAUUGACGCUGAGGCGCGAAAGCCAGGGGGAGCAAACGGG
This 254-nucleotide ribosomal RNA is filed under the name uncultured bacterium. RNAcentral's name for it is "partial 16S ribosomal RNA". It matches the Rfam family "Bacterial small subunit ribosomal RNA", at positions 524 to 776 of the family's 1533-position model. The record is from RNAcentral.